This 467-nucleotide ribosomal RNA is filed under the name uncultured bacterium. RNAcentral's name for it is "partial 16S ribosomal RNA". It matches the Rfam family "Bacterial small subunit ribosomal RNA", at positions 29 to 507 of the family's 1533-position model. The record is from RNAcentral.
ACGAACGCUGGCGGCGUGCUUAACCCAUGCAAGUCGAACGGAAAGGCCCUGCUUUUGUGGGGUGCUCGAGUGGCGAACGGGUGAGUAACACGUUAUUAACCUGCCCUUGACUUUGGGAUAACUUCAGGAAACUGGGGCUAAUACCGGAUAGGAUCUCCUGCUGCUUGGUGGGGGUUGGAAAGUUUCGGCGGUUGGGGAUGGACUCGCGGCUUAUCAGCUUGUUGGUUGUGUAGUGGCUUACCAAGGCUUUGACGGGUAGCCGGCCUGAGAGGGUGAACGGCAACAUUGGGAAUGAGAGAGGGCACAGACUCGUACGGGAGGAAGCAGUGGGGAAUAUUGCACAAUGGGCGGAAGAGUGAUGCAGAAACGCAGCGUGCGGGAUGACGGCCUUCGGGUUGUAAACAGCUUUCGAAUGUGACGAAGCGUGAGUGACGGUAAUGGGUAAAGAAGCACCGGCUAACUACGUG